Molecule: long non-coding RNA, 352 nt
Organism: Alosa alosa (allis shad)
Lineage: Eukaryota; Metazoa; Chordata; Actinopteri; Clupeiformes; Clupeidae
Exons: 3
Source: RefSeq, a predicted model, not a curated record
AGUUCACCUAAUGGAAAAAACGAAAAGACGCAAAAUCAUUCAUCAUGGGACAACAUACAGCACCGAACUAUAUAGGAAUUAAACAACUUUCACGUCUUUUCUAUCACCAAACCGAGUCUGUUCCAUCACAUCUAAGCGACAAUUUCGUGGUGCUUUCAAUAGUAUGACUGUUUUGAAGCGAUCAUGAAAUGGAAGCCAGGGCUAGAAGAGGAGGUGGAGCUCCUGAUAGCUGAGGUCUUAAAACAUGCCCCUGCAGCCCACACCAAAAGUUUAAGGGUCGGAUGGAACAGCAGGUGGAAGACCACAAAAUUGAAUUUCCACAUUAUUUUAAAUAAAAUAUAAUGUUAGUGUA